Long non-coding RNA from Nicotiana tabacum (common tobacco), 1502 nucleotides. RefSeq lists it as uncharacterized. NCBI's taxonomy places the organism in Eukaryota, Viridiplantae, Streptophyta, Magnoliopsida, Solanales, Solanaceae. The record is from RefSeq and is a predicted model, not a curated record.
ACAUGCUUGUAAUAUUUAUGUAUUAUGAGAUUUCGAAGAUUGAAUUGAGCUGUCUAUAUUUUACUAUUAGAAAAACUUACUUCCAAAUAUUUGCAGUAAAAAUUACUGAGUUGGGUUCUCACGAUUAGGUUAGACUUUGGAUGUUUGUGGAGGGAUUUAUCGUUGGGUUCCGGCAGUUGAAAGGAGAGAACUGAAUCUGCCAUUGUAGUUGAUUUCCCAAAAUCUGAUUCAGGUAGGAUAAGUUUCAUGGCAGAACAAGCAUUCAAAAGGAAUUGGUGCAUCCCUUGCUUCUUUCUCAGUGAAGAAACUACAAAUUUAUAAUUGUGCUUGCGGCUGGUAAUAAGAUCUCCCACUCUGAUUUGAAGAACUUUUACAGUUCAGUUCUCUUGCUAUUGUUAACCAACCAGCUCCUUCUUCACACAAUUUCUCAUCUACAAGGGUCAAUACUCUGUCAGAACCUGCAAGAGAGAGCCAGGGUACAAUGUUAAGAUACUAAGGCGUAUGCUUUUAGGUGAAAGAAAAGGGGCCAAUUGAAUGAUAUGUGAUACUGAAUGUCGCAACAGCACUAUUAGUCAGCGGGCGAGUUGUUAACUUAGCUGAAGGAGUAGCAAUCGCAUAUACCACACAUUAUUCAGGGAAAGCUCUUAACGCUCUUAAUCAGUGGAUUGAUGUAGUGCAAAAGAAUCAGUAAAGACGCUCUGCUAGAGUAUGUAAGGAUAAGAUUAUUGAGCUACUCUCAAAAUUACUCCUCUGGUCAUUUACUGGAUCAUUCGGAAGCACAAAGAUUUGAUAUAUGGCAAGUGGGUUUGGAGAAUCAACUACUAGGGAAACCUCAAGUCCUUCUUGCUCCAGUAACAGUGGUAAUUAUAGCGAUACUGGCAACUUCGAGUGCAAUAUUUGCUUUCAUUUGGCGCAUGACCCAAUUGUUACUCUCUGCCGCAAUAAUGGAGAAAUUUUCCUUCUACCACAAGGGAAGUGAACUGCCUCAUGGCCAUCGAAUGCUGACUAAUCAACCUCUUCUUCGUAGUAGAGUGAAUACAAGUAUCGUUCUCAUAUUUAAGUAGUACUUGAUGCUAUUCUAUUGAGAGAUUGUCAUUGGGUGAGACUAGCAUGAUAAGUUCGAAUGCAAUAAGAGGAUGAUGGAGUUGAGCUACUGUUUUAUUGAUUCUCUCAAGACUUGGUCAAUAAUUUGUCCACAAGAAAAUCGAGAAAUUAUGCAAUUUAUUUUUGUUGAUUAUUACUUGAUUUCUUAAGAAAAUGGGAAUACCCUAUUUUGGAUCUCAAGCAUACUUUCAAGGAUAAUUUUUUCAAGCUAUUUUUGGGUCCUCAUAUGUUUCAUUGCACGGGUUCUAUUUGCUACAUGCAAGACUACUUUGAAGGAAGAAAAGUGAUCAAGAUUAAAGAUACUAUGUGGUUUGUGUUGGAGAUGCUUAAAAUAGAAUUUUGUUCGAGUUGGGGCGCCUUGAUGUUUGUUUGGGACUUUAAACUGAAAUUAAAUUUAA